GUGGCCGAGAACCGCCACUGCUGCAAAUAAAAAAGAAUAGGGGGAAAAAAAGAAGUCCGAACAGAAGUUAAUGAUGCAGGUAGGAAAAAACACAACAGAAGUUAACGACACACAAAAAAAGUGGCGUUCUUUUUUAUCUGCAGUGGGCUUUGGUUUCUUUUUUUGCGUCGUUAACUUCCGUUGUGACUUCAUUUUUCUGCCUUCUUUUUUAUUUGCAGCGGUGGCGUUUCUCGGCCAC
Xyrichtys novacula (pearly razorfish) is the source of this 238-nucleotide non-coding RNA. Lineage: Eukaryota; Metazoa; Chordata; Actinopteri; Labriformes; Labridae. The record is from the annotation of a GenBank genome assembly.